RNAcentral lists this transfer RNA (76 nucleotides) under gut metagenome. RNAcentral describes it as "tRNA-Arg". It matches the Rfam family "tRNA". From Rfam's summary of the family: Transfer RNA (tRNA) molecules are approximately 80 nucleotides in length. The record is from RNAcentral.
GGCUGCAUAGCUCAAGAGGACAGAGCGGCAACCUCCUAAGUUGCGGAUAGCGGUUCGACUCCGCUUGAGGCCACAA